This 509-nucleotide ribosomal RNA is filed under the name uncultured bacterium. Its description in RNAcentral is "bacterial SSU rRNA". It matches the Rfam family "Bacterial small subunit ribosomal RNA", at positions 15 to 518 of the family's 1533-position model. The record is from RNAcentral.
GAUCCUGGCUUAGGAUGAACGCUAGCGACAGGCUAACACAUGCAAGUCGAGGGGCAGCAUAGAAGUAGCAAUACUUGGUGGCGACCGGCGCACGGGUGAGUAACGCGUAUGCAACCUACCUAUCAGAGGGGAAUAACCCGGCGAAAGUCGGACUAAUACCGCAUAAAACAGGGGCACCGCAUGGUGAUAUUUGUUAAAGAAAUUCGCUGAUAGAUGGGCAUGCGUUCCAUUAGGUAGUUGGUGAGGUAACGGCUCACCAAGCCGACGAUGGAUAGGGGAACUGAGAGGUUGGUCCCCCACACUGGUACUGAGACACGGACCAGACUCCUACGGGAGGCAGCAGUGAGGAAUAUUGGUCAAUGGGCGGGAGCCUGAACCAGCCAAGUCGCGUGAAGGAAGAAGGACCUAUGGUUCGUAAACUUCUUUUGCAGGGGAAUAAAGUGCAGGACGUGUCCUGUUUUGUAUGUACCCUGAGAAUAAGGAUCGGCUAACUCCGUGCCAGCAGCAGC